CAGGGAGACAACAAAAUGUUUAAUAUUAUUAUUUUGUCACCUUAGGUCGAUCGGUAUCUCACAUUCUUAAUUUAUUAAGGAUUUCAAUUCCUAAGUUUUUCUAGGUCACACCCAUUAUUUCCCUGGGCCAUUAGCUCAGGUGGUUAGAGCGCACCCCUGAUAAGGGUGAGGUCCCUGGUUCAAGUCCAGGAUGGCCCAUAUCUCUAUGUUGGGGGUAUAGCUCAGUUGGUAGAGCGCCUGCUUUGCAAGCAGGAUGUCAGCGGUUCGAGUCCGCUUACCUCCACUGAUUACCACCUCUUCCAUAAUCUGUAUAAGGGAAAUGUUUUGGUUUGUGAUCAUAUUCUGAACGAAUCUAGCUUCCUAAUGAAAUCAUUAAGAUGCUGGACUCAUUGAAUUUAAUUUCAUUGUUUUCAGAGAACCUUGGCAACUGCAUAGAUUAUUUUUAAAGACAAUAAGCAUCUUUAAUGAUGCAGAUUUAUUAUUUGUGCGAAAGCAUUAAUAACAAUUCUAUUAAGCUGAUGCUUCAA
RNAcentral lists this transfer RNA (527 nucleotides) under uncultured Prochlorococcus sp. RNAcentral describes it as "partial 16S-23S ribosomal RNA intergenic spacer". The stretch from base 211 to 283 matches the Rfam family "tRNA". The record is from RNAcentral. Lineage: Bacteria; Bacillati; Cyanobacteriota; Cyanophyceae; Synechococcales; Prochlorococcaceae.